Cinara cedri is the source of this 239-nucleotide non-coding RNA. Lineage: Eukaryota; Metazoa; Arthropoda; Insecta; Hemiptera; Aphididae. The record is from the annotation of a GenBank genome assembly.
CGUUUAAAGUUAUUCUAUUAGGUAAUGAUAAUUUAUGUAUCAAAUUUGUCACGGAUGAGAGGGGUAAAUAUGUGGUUAAUAUAUUCCGCGGUCGUGAUGAAUAUUGUAUUAUCCUUCCUUCUUAUGUAUAAAUUCUCUCUCCGUACUAUUAUAAUAUUACGAUCGGGGCAAACGAGCCGCGCAUGGAUUACUAUUUCGUCGCGUUUUACAGGUAGAGGAGGAGGCGACCGGUCAAUAAU